CCCCUUAAAUAAUGUUAUAAAAUAAAGAGAAGAACACUAUUGUUACUAAAACAGUAACCCUCCUAUAUAGCUGAUAAGAAAUCAAAUUAAGUUUCUCAUAUGAUGCUAAAAACUACAUGAUACUGGUGGAGAACAAAAAAAAAUCUGAUUCUAUUCUGACUACAAACUCUCUUGCUCAAAGUAAGGUAUGAUUAGUGAUAUUAUUUCUUGUUGAUUAUUUUUUUCUUCUAAUUAUUAUUUUUUG
This 244-nucleotide long non-coding RNA is filed under the name Elaeis guineensis (African oil palm). RNAcentral describes it as "long non-coding RNA (EGUI_LNC006546)". Lineage: Eukaryota; Viridiplantae; Streptophyta; Magnoliopsida; Arecales; Arecaceae. The record is from RNAcentral.